This 435-nucleotide ribosomal RNA is filed under the name uncultured bacterium. Its description in RNAcentral is "bacterial SSU rRNA". It matches the Rfam family "Bacterial small subunit ribosomal RNA", at positions 29 to 507 of the family's 1533-position model. The record is from RNAcentral.
AGCGAACGCUGGCGGCAUGCCUAACACAUGCAAGUCGAGCGCUCCCAGCAAUGGGGGAGCGGCGGACGGGUGAGUAACGCGUAGGAACGUAUCCUGAGGUGGGGGAGUAACCCUGGGAAACUAGGGCUAAUACCGCAUGAUGGCGAGAGCCCAAAGAUUUAUCGCCUUGGGAGCGGCCUGCGUCUGAUUAGCUUGUUGGUGGGGUAACGGCCUACCAAGGCGAUGAUCAGUAGCUGGUCUGAGAGGAUGAUCAGCCACACUGGGACUGAGACACGGCCCAGACUCCUACGGGAGGCAGCAGUGGGGAAUAUUGGACAAUGGGCGAAAGCCUGAUCCAGCAAUGCCGCGUGGAUGAAGAAGGUCUUCGGAUUGUAAAGUCCUUUCGGCGGGGACGAUGAUGACGGUACCCGCAGAAGAAGCCCGGCUAACUUCGUG